Molecule: ribosomal RNA, 403 nt
Filed under: uncultured bacterium
Lineage: Bacteria
Description: bacterial SSU rRNA
Rfam family: Bacterial small subunit ribosomal RNA
Source: RNAcentral
UGGGGAAUAUUGGACAAUGGGGGAAACCCUGAUCCAGCCAUGCCGCGUGAAUGAUGAAGGCCUUCGGGUUGUAAAGUUCUUUUGACGGGGACGAUGAUGACGGUACCCGUAGAAUAAGCUCCGGCUAACUUCGUGCCAGCAGCCGCGGUAAUACGAAGGGAGCUAGCGUUGUUCGGAAUUACUGGGCGUAAAGGGCGCGUAGGCGGUUUCGUAAGUUGGAUGUGAAAGCCCUGGGCUCAACCCGGGAAUUGCAUUCAAGACUACGUCACUCGAAUUCGGUAGAGGUUGGUAGAAUUCCCAGUGUAGAGGUGAAAUUCGUAGAUAUUGGGAAGAAUACCCGUGGCGAAGGCGGCCAACUGGACCGACAUUGACGCUGAGGCGCGAAAGCGUGGGUAGCAAACAG